This 62-nucleotide transfer RNA is filed under the name Hypothenemus sp. BMNH 1039866. RNAcentral's name for it is "tRNA-Thr". Lineage: Eukaryota; Metazoa; Arthropoda; Insecta; Coleoptera; Curculionidae. The record is from RNAcentral.
GCUUUAAUAAUUUAAACAAAAUAUUGGUCUUGUAAACCAAAAAUAACACCCGUUUUAAAGUU